This 21-nucleotide non-coding RNA is filed under the name Caenorhabditis elegans. Lineage: Eukaryota; Metazoa; Nematoda; Chromadorea; Rhabditida; Rhabditidae. The record is from RNAcentral.
UAUAUAAGGAAGUACCUGCUU